Austrofundulus limnaeus is the source of this 456-nucleotide long non-coding RNA. RefSeq lists it as uncharacterized. The transcript is spliced from 2 exons. The record is from RefSeq and is a predicted model, not a curated record. NCBI's taxonomy places the organism in Eukaryota, Metazoa, Chordata, Actinopteri, Cyprinodontiformes, Rivulidae.
GCCUCCACGUAAUGCAUUCUCCUCAGCCAGCAGCCCCUCGAGCUCCGGCGUCGCCCCGCCUGUUACCAACGUCCGGAUCAAGGAGAAGAUCUAUCCAUUCCUGGUGGAGUAAAGCCUUAAUGGACGGACGGACGGAUGGACACACACACACACACACAACAUAUUAUUACAAUAUUCAGCACUUUAUCAGAAGAUCCAAUCAGGCAUAACAGAAAAAACAAUACACUGGGGUUAUUUCAUCCUUUCCCAGCUAGUGGUAAACUUGCUGAGUGUAGCGUUGCUGUAUUCUUGUAACAGACCAAUAUUAGUUCAUAUAUAAUAGAUGUGACAUGCGGCUCAUUUUGUUUUCCUUUGACUGUGUGUGCAUGAAGAUGGAAACCUUUUACACACAUGCAGAAGAAGCAUGUACCCUGUGCAGCCAUGAAAGAAAAUAAAUGAUGCAAGAUUGAAUUCAAA